UUUCCGUAGGUGAACCUGCGGAAGGAUCAUUAGUGAAUAUUAGGUUGCUCAGUUGCUUUAACCCGCUCAGAGUCCUGACCUCCACUUUCCACACGGUGCACCUUUCGGCGAAAUGGAAUCUUGAGCUUUGCUCUCGACGACGUUUUGCGGCUUCAUUAUAAAACACUAGUUUGAAAAUUUAAAAAAACCAUAACAAAAUAAAACUUUCAACAACGGAUCUCUUGGCUCUC
RNAcentral lists this unclassified non-coding RNA (230 nucleotides) under plant metagenome. RNAcentral's name for it is "partial contains small subunit ribosomal RNA, internal transcribed spacer 1, and 5.8S ribosomal RNA". The record is from RNAcentral.